RNAcentral lists this ribosomal RNA (489 nucleotides) under uncultured bacterium. RNAcentral's name for it is "partial 16S ribosomal RNA". It matches the Rfam family "Bacterial small subunit ribosomal RNA", at positions 29 to 506 of the family's 1533-position model. The record is from RNAcentral.
AGUGAACGCUGGCGGCAGGCCUAACACAUGCAAGUCGAACGGCAGCACAAGAGAGCUUGCUCUCUGGGUGGCGAGUGGCGGACGGGUGAGGAAUGCAUCGGAAUCUGCCCAUUUGUGGGGGAUAACCUCGGGAAACCGGGACUAAUACCGCAUACGACCUACGGGUGAAAGCAGGGGAUCUUCGGACCUUGCGCAGAUGGAUGAGCCGAUGCCGGAUUAGCUAGUUGGAGGGGUAAAGGCCCACCAAGGCGACGAUCCGUAGCUGGUCUGAGAGGAGGAUCGGCCACACUGGACCUGAGACCCGGCCCAGCCUCCUACGGGAGGCAGCAGUGGGGAAUUUUGGACAAUGGGCGCAAGCCUGCUCCAGCCAUGCCGCGUGUGUGAAGAAGGCCUUCGGGUUGUAAAGCACUUUUGUUGGGAAAGAAAAGCAGCCGGUUAAUACCCGGUUGUCAUGACGGUACCCAAAGAAUAAGCACCGGCUAACUUCGU